This 72-nucleotide transfer RNA is filed under the name Ovis aries (sheep). It matches the Rfam family "tRNA". Rfam says of the family: Transfer RNA (tRNA) molecules are approximately 80 nucleotides in length. The record is from Rfam by way of RNAcentral. Lineage: Eukaryota; Metazoa; Chordata; Mammalia; Artiodactyla; Bovidae.
UCCCUGGUGGCUCAGAGGUUAAAGUGUCUGCCUCCAAUGGAGAAGACUCAGGUUCGAUCCCUGGGUCGGGAA